GAUGAACGCUGGCGGCGUGCCUAAUACAUGCAAGUUGAGCGAACAGAUGAGGAGCUUGCUCCUCUGACGUUAGCGGCGGACGGGUGAGUAACACGUGGAUAACCUACCUAUAAGACUGGGAUAACUUCGGGAAACCGGAGCUAAUACCGGAUAAUAUAUUGAACCGCAUGGUUCAAUAGUGAAAGACGGUUUUGCUGUCACGUAUAGAUGGAUCCGCGCCGCAUUAGCUAGUUGGUAAGGUAACGGCUUACCAAGGCAACGAUGCGUAGCCGACCUGAGAGGGUGAUCGGCCACACUGGAACUGAGAUACGGUCCAGACUCCUACGGGAGGCAGCAGUAGGGAAUCUUCCGCAAUGGGCGAAAGCCUGACGGAGCAACGCCGCGUGAGUGAUGAAGGUCUUCGGAUCGUAAAACUCUGUUAUUAGGGAAGAACAAAUGUGUAAGUAACUAUGCACGUCUUGACGGUACCUAAUCAGAAAGCCACGGCUAACUACGUG
This 497-nucleotide ribosomal RNA is filed under the name uncultured bacterium. RNAcentral describes it as "partial 16S ribosomal RNA". It matches the Rfam family "Bacterial small subunit ribosomal RNA", at positions 28 to 507 of the family's 1533-position model. The record is from RNAcentral.